CAACAUAUAAGUAAUUGCUGCGUUAUUUAUGUUGCUGCUAAAGCUUUAAGGCUGUGACAUAAAUUAUUCCAAGUCUUGUAAAUAUCUUGACUUGGUUAAAACUAACAAAAUUAAAAAUUAAAAGGUGUUGCUUGUGCGUAGGUUCAUCUAUAACAAAAAUGUAACGAACAGCUUGCAGCUUUUUUUU
Molecule: non-coding RNA, 187 nt
Filed under: Baryconus sp. ZL-2020
Lineage: Eukaryota; Metazoa; Arthropoda; Insecta; Hymenoptera; Scelionidae
Source: RNAcentral